AUCAACUUUCGAUGGUAGGAUAGAGGCCUACCAUGGUGGUAACGGGUAACGGGGUGUUAGGGCACGACACCGGAGAGGGAGCCUGAGAAACGGCUACCACAUCCAAGGAUGGCAGCAGGCGCGCAAAUUACCCAAUCCCGACACGGGGAGGUAGUGACAAUAGAUAACAAUACGGGGCUCUUUCGGGUCUCGUAAUUGGAAUGAGUACAAUUUAAAUCCCUUAACGAGGAACAAUUGGGGGGCAAGUCUGGUGCCAGCAGCCGCGGUAAUUCCAGCUCCAAUAGCGUAUAUUAAAGUUGUUGCAGUUAAAAAGCUCGUAGUUGAAUUUCGGGAUUGACACAUCGGUCGUGCCUUAAGGGGUAUGAACUGGUGUAGUCAAUUUCUCACCUUCUGGAGAACCACGAUGCCCUUAAUUGGGUGUCGCGGGGAACCAGGACCUUUACUUUGAAAAAAUUAGAGUGUUUAAAGCAGGCAUUUUGCUUGAAUACAUUAGCAUGGAAUAAUAAAAUAGGACGGCAUGAUUCUAUUUUGUUGGUUUCUAGGAUCACCGUAAUGAUUAAUAGGGAUAGUUGGGGGCAUUAGUAUUCAAUUGUCAGAGGUGAAAUUCUUGGAUUUAUUGAAGACUAACUACUGCGAAAGCAUUUGCCAAGGAUGUUUUCAUUAAUCAAGAACGAAAGUUAGGGGAUCGAAGACGAUCAGAUACCGUCGUAGUCUUAACCAUAAACUAUGCCGACUAGGAAUCAGACGAUGUUAAUUUUUUAAUGACUCGUUUGGCACCUUACGGGAAACCAAAGUGUUUGGGUUC
RNAcentral lists this ribosomal RNA (805 nucleotides) under uncultured Glomus. Its description in RNAcentral is "SSU rRNA". It matches the Rfam family "Eukaryotic small subunit ribosomal RNA", at positions 314 to 1114 of the family's 1831-position model. Lineage: Eukaryota; Fungi; Glomeromycota; Glomeromycetes; Glomerales; Glomeraceae. The record is from RNAcentral.